Molecule: ribosomal RNA, 253 nt
Filed under: uncultured bacterium
Lineage: Bacteria
Description: partial 16S ribosomal RNA
Rfam family: Bacterial small subunit ribosomal RNA
Source: RNAcentral
UACGAAGGGAGCAAGCGUUGUUCGGCAUUACUGGGCGUAAAGCGCGCGUAGGUGGUCAUACAAGUCAGGGGUGAAAUCCCGGGGCUCAACCCCGGAACUGCCUCUGAAACUGUAUGACUUGAGUAUCGGAGGGGAUGGUGGAAUUUCUAAUGUAGCGGUGAAAUGCGUAGAUAUUAGAAGGAACACCGGUGGCGAAGGCGACCAUCUGGACGAUUACUGACACUGAGGCGCGAAAGCGUGGGGAGCAAACAGG